RNA transcript from Mercurialis annua (annual mercury), 1516 nucleotides. It is a transcript of the gene named protein LIKE COV 1-like, with no coding region annotated. The record is from RefSeq and is a predicted model, not a curated record. Lineage: Eukaryota; Viridiplantae; Streptophyta; Magnoliopsida; Malpighiales; Euphorbiaceae. The transcript has 8 exons.
UUACAGUACCUGUAACGAACUCAUAACAUUCCCAUUGCUCAUUAACGCGAGAAACAAAGAGUGAAUACAGAAUUAAAACUGGGGAUUCGAUAUCGAGAUAAAAUGGCGACAAGAGAAGUGGAAAUUGAGGGAGAUCUACAAUUCUUGAUACCAGUUGCUGAACCGGAUAACUUGAAGUCCAAAACGUCGUCGCCUUCAUCUUCUCCUGCCGUCUCCGCUUCCCACCGUCUUUCUGGCAUCGAGACAUUAUCCACCGUCAUUCGCAGCUGGGCUUCUAAAAAGUUUAUGACGGGAUGUGUCAUUCUUCUUCCAAUUGCUGUCACUUUCUACAUAACUUGGGGUUUUGUACACUUUGUGGAUGGUUUUUUCUCUCCGGUCUAUAAUCAUCUUGGGAUCAAUAUUUUCGGUCUUGGGUUUGCAACAUCUAUCACUUUUAUAUUUUUAGUCGGCAUUUUCAUGUCAUCUUGGUUAGGAGCUUCUGUUCUCACCAUUGGAGAAUGGUUUAUCAAGAAAAUGCCGUUCAUAAGCUAUAUAUAUUCUGCUUCCAAGCAAAUCAGUGCUGCAAUAUCUCCAGAUCAGACCAGUAAUGCCUUCAAGGAAGUGGCCAUUAUAAGACACCCUCGAGCUGGGGAAUAUGCAUUUGGAUUCAUAACUUCAACAGUGAUUCUACAGAGGAGGAUGGGUGAAGAAGAACUCUGCUGUGUCUAUGUGCCCACUAAUCAUCUCUAUGUUGGAGAUAUAUUUCUUAUAAGUGCCAAGGACAUUAUGAGGCCUAAUUUGUCUGUUCGAGAAGGAAUUGAAAUCAUAAUAUCUGGAGGCAUGUCAGUACCUCAGAUAUUGACCACAAGGGAUGCAGAAGCCAUUCCAGCAGCAAGACUUUGCAAAUACCCUUCGUCAACAGUAUAACCAUGACUAACAUACACAGAUUUUCUUUAUAACGGUCUCUUUGGUGUACAGAUAAUUGAAAAUCACAGGCAAUGAUCAGCAAUGAAGUUAAGGUGCUUUAUUAGAGUGUUUCGGAGGCAUAACUUAACAACUUCAUUUGGUGGAAACAGAAUUUCGUAUCAAACUUCUUCAAAAUCUUCAAGAAAGAUGCAAUCUUCUCCUCCAUUUCCUCCUUUACAACCUCCAACUGCCUCUUUACCUUUUAUGACAACGAGCACCGUGUAUCUUUCGACAUAGAACACGGCUUAUCGAUGCAGGAUACAGAAGCAAUUCCAUGGUUCGACUACGAGGGGAUUACAUCAACCAUGAGCUGCGUUAUUUGCUUGGAUUGCUUUUGGAAAGGUGACAGAUGCAAGAAACUCCCAAUUUGCAAUCACAUAUUUCAUGCUCAUUGUAUUGACCUUUGGUUGGUAAGAAAACUUACUUGCCCAACUUGCCGGUCCCCAUUGAAAAUCAAAGUGAGAUUGAAUGCUGUCUAAUUUCAUUUAUUCAUGCAAUUUGCAUCUAACUCAAACAGUGUAUGAUAAUUCAGUGCCUAUGGUCAAAUGUUAAUAUUUCAAAUUCAUUGCCA